UCCGUAGGUGAACCUGCGGAAGGAUCAUUACCGAGUUGAUUCGGGCUCCGGCCCGAUCCUCCCACCCUUUGUGUACCUACCUCUGUUGCUUUGGCGGGCCGCGGUCCUCCGCGGCCGCCCCCCUCCCCGGGGGGGUGGCCAGCGCCCGCCAGAGGACCAUCAAACUCCAGUCAGUAAACGAUGCAGUCUGAAAAACAUUUAAUAAACUAAAACUUUCAACAACGGGUCUCUUGGUUCUGGCAUCGAUGAAGAACGCAGCGAAAUGCGAUAAGUAAUGUGAAUUGCAGAAUUCAGUGAAUCAUCGAAUCUUUGAACGCACAUUGCGCCCUUUGGUAUUCCGAAGGGCAUGCCUGUUCGAGCGUCAUUACAACCCUCAAGCUCUGCUUGGUAUUGGGCACCGUCCUUUGCGGGCGCGCCUCAAAGACCUCGGCGGUGGCGUCUUGCCUCAAGCGUAGUAGAACAUACAUCUCGCUUCGGAGCGCAGGGCGUCGCCCGCCGGACGAACCUUCUGAACUUUUCUCAAGGUUGACCUCGGAUCAGGUAGGGAUACCCGCUGAACUUAAGCAUAUCAAUAAGCGGAGGA
RNAcentral lists this ribosomal RNA (583 nucleotides) under Botryosphaeria dothidea. RNAcentral's name for it is "eukaryotic LSU rRNA". The stretch from base 211 to 364 matches the Rfam family "5.8S ribosomal RNA". Lineage: Eukaryota; Fungi; Ascomycota; Dothideomycetes; Botryosphaeriales; Botryosphaeriaceae. The record is from RNAcentral.